Molecule: long non-coding RNA, 494 nt
Filed under: Homo sapiens (human)
Lineage: Eukaryota; Metazoa; Chordata; Mammalia; Primates; Hominidae
Description: HSALNT0405218
Source: RNAcentral
GGCGGCGUGGGGACCAGCGCGGGCCGGGGCAGCUGGUACCUGGGAUCGGGCAGGACGGUCCUCUUGCUGGCGCGGGCGGCCGGAGUCGCCUUGCUCUUCUCCAUGGCCAUCAGGUAAUGAUGAAGCCCCUGCUCUGGUCCAAGCUACCUGUGAACAGCGCCCAGCGGGCCGGGCCCCCAACCUCGCUCCUGAACGUACCCGCAAGCCCGCCGUGAGAAUUCAGCGAAGAGUAAAGGCUGGAGAAAGUUGCGUGUCUCAGGCUAAGCAGAGCAAAGUGGGGUGAGGGCUUCGCCGCUAGGAACAGAGAUGCCCUUAGGGAGCCCCCUGAUGGAAGAGCUCUCUGCUUAAGAAGGUCAGCACGCCCUUACACUCAGGAAAAGUGGAAAUGAGGCCUUUUACCCCAGGGUUGUUGAGAAGACAGGGGAGAAAAAGCACAUAAAAAUGCACCUUGUCGGGCGCAGUGGCUCACACCUGUAAUCCUGCACUUUGGGAGU